RNAcentral lists this long non-coding RNA (333 nucleotides) under dengue virus type 3. Its description in RNAcentral is "Dengue virus 3 partial sfRNA1". The stretch from base 153 to 224 matches the Rfam family "Flavivirus DB element". Lineage: Riboviria; Orthornavirae; Kitrinoviricota; Flasuviricetes; Amarillovirales; Flaviviridae. The record is from RNAcentral.
UGACUGUCAGGCCACCUUAAGCCACAGUACGGAAGAAGCUGUGCUGCCUGUGAGCCCCGUCCAAGGACGUUAAAAGAAGAAGUCAGGCCCCAAAGCCACGGUUUGAGCAAACCGUGCUGCCUGUAGCUCCGUCGUGGGGACGUAAAAACCUGGGAGGCUGCAAACUGUGGAAGCUGUACGCACAGUGUAGCAGACUAGUGGUUAGAGGAGACCCCUCCCAUGACACAACGCAGCAGCGGGGCCCGAGCAUUGAGGGAAGCUGUACCUCCUUGCAAAGGACUAGAGGUUAGAGGAGACCCCCCGCAAAUAAAAACAGCAUAUUGACGCUGGGAG